GACGAACGCUGGCGGCGUGCCUAAUACAUGCAAGUAGAACGCUGAAGGAGGAGCUUGCUUCUCCGGAUGAGUUGCGAACGGGUGAGUAACGCGUAGGUAACCUGCCUGGUAGCGGGGGAUAACUAUUGGAAACGAUAGCUAAUACCGCAUAAGAGUAGAUGUUGCAUGACAUUUGCUUAAAAGGUGCAAUUGCAUCACUACCAGAUGGACCUGCGUUGUAUUAGCUAGUUGGUGGGGUAACGGCUCACCAAGGCGACGAUACAUAGCCGACCUGAGAGGGUGAUCGGCCACACUGGGACUGAGACACGGCCCAGACUCCUACGGGAGGCAGCAGUAGGGAAUCUUCGGCAAUGGACGGAAGUCUGACCGAGCAACGCCGCGUGAGUGAAGAAGGUUUUCGGAUCGUAAAGCUCUGUUGUAAGAGAAGAACGAGUGUGAGAGUGGAAAGUUCACACUGUGACGGUAUCUUACCAGAAAGGGACGGCUAACUACGUGCCAGCCGCCGCUGUAA
This 511-nucleotide ribosomal RNA is filed under the name uncultured bacterium. RNAcentral describes it as "partial 16S ribosomal RNA". It matches the Rfam family "Bacterial small subunit ribosomal RNA", at positions 28 to 523 of the family's 1533-position model. The record is from RNAcentral.